AUCGCUUCUCGGCCUUUUGGCUAAGAUCAAGUGUAGAAAUGGUGUCAGGAUCUCAUAAUUAUACAUUUUUAAACUGAGUGUUGGCUAGAAGUAUGAACAACCUGUGGGUUUUUAAUUUUUGAUUUACAUUGUACAGGUUUUUAAUUCAUGAAAGCUAUU
This is a small nuclear RNA of 159 nucleotides. Its record names the gene U2. It matches the Rfam family "U2 spliceosomal RNA". From Rfam's summary of the family: U2 is a small nuclear RNA (snRNA) component of the spliceosome (involved in pre-mRNA splicing). Complementary binding between U2 snRNA (in an area lying towards the 5' end but 3' to hairpin I) and the branchpoint sequence (BPS) of the intron results the bulging out of an unpaired adenosine, on the BPS, which initiates a nucleophilic attack at the intronic 5' splice site, thus starting the first of two transesterification reactions that mediate splicing. The record is from Ensembl.